Molecule: ribosomal RNA, 429 nt
Filed under: Actinomycetes bacterium
Lineage: Bacteria; Bacillati; Actinomycetota; Actinomycetes
Description: Actinobacteria bacterium partial 16S ribosomal RNA
Rfam family: Bacterial small subunit ribosomal RNA
Source: RNAcentral
UAGGGAAUCUUCCGCAAUGGGCGAAAGCCUGACGGAGCAACGCCGCGUGAGUGAUGAAGGUCUUCGGAUCGUAAAACUCUGUUAUUAGGGAAGAACAAAUGUGUAAGUAACUAUGCACGUCUUGACGGUACCUAAUCAGAAAGCCACGGCUAACUACGUGCCAGCAGCCGCGGUAAUACGUAGGUGGCAAGCGUUAUCCGGAAUUAUUGGGCGUAAAGCGCGCGUAGGCGGUUUUUUAAGUCUGAUGUGAAAGCCCACGGCUCAACCGUGGAGGGUCAUUGGAAACUGGAAAACUUGAGUGCAGAAGAGGAAAGUGGAAUUCCAUGUGUAGCGAUGAAAUGCGCAGAGAUAUGGAGGAACACCAGUGGCGAAGGCGACUUUCUGGUCUGUAACUGACGCUGAUGUGCGAAAGCGCGGGGAUCAAACAGG